Panthera uncia (snow leopard) is the source of this 757-nucleotide long non-coding RNA. RefSeq lists it as uncharacterized. The record is from RefSeq and is a predicted model, not a curated record. NCBI's taxonomy places the organism in Eukaryota, Metazoa, Chordata, Mammalia, Carnivora, Felidae. The transcript has 3 exons.
CCAAUAAGGAAUAACCUUUAAAAGCCUCAUGUCAACCCCAUGAAGUAGAUCCUCAUUCUAUGGAUAAGGAUCUUGAGAGGGAAAGUAACUGGCCCACGAGUUUACAGAUGAUGGAUAGACAAUUGUGGAGACAGGAUGCCAGUCCAGCGGAGUCUGGCUACAAAAUGCCCACACGAAGCACUCAUUGAAAUAGAGUAUUUUGUAACCUGUUCCUUUCACAGUCUUUUGAAUUUACAUUUGGAUAUAAACUCUAGAAAGGCAGGAGCAACCAUGCCUUCCACUUGGUACAGGUUUUUUGGUGUGACCCAGUUUAGUGUCCUGGAAAUACAUGGCAACAAUUGCUGAAAGAGAGGAAAUCAACAUUUAUAAAGCACUUACGAAAUAUCUGCCAAGAACUAUGGCCGGCUACUGAGAUGUUUUACAGAUGUUGCCUAGAGGAUAACUUUUUUCUUUCCUCAGACUAUGUUUUCUCCUUAUGGAACGAACACAGUAAUUGAGAGCAGGAUUUUAAAGACAAAUCAAACUUGAUGGCAUAAGACCUAUUUCAAGCUGGAUCGACCAAAACGAAUAACUGAGCAUUUGGAGAGUAAGGUUUUAGGUUGGAUCAAGAGCCUAAAGGGUACCAUAACCUCAUUCUAUAGUGUAAAUGAUGCCAUAAUAGCCUGGCUUCUCCUUUUACAUUUCUUCCGUCUGCUUUCUCGAUGUUGUCUCCACUUCUCAGUCCCCGUGUGGUUGGAAGAUGGCUUCACCCAGGCCC